CUGUUCUGCCGUACGUCUCUAAGGGCGUUUCCUCCCUAAACUUGGGCCGUGCCUCGCGCACGGCCCUUUUUUUUCGGCGAG
This is a small RNA of Tistlia consotensis, 81 nucleotides long. It matches the Rfam family "Makes More Granules Regulator RNA (mmgR)". From Rfam's summary of the family: SuhB later renamed mmgR (makes more granules regulator) was a putative non-coding RNA found multiple times in the Agrobacterium tumefaciens genome and related alpha-proteobacteria. NCBI's taxonomy places the organism in Bacteria, Pseudomonadati, Pseudomonadota, Alphaproteobacteria, Rhodospirillales, Rhodovibrionaceae. The record is from Rfam.